UACGUAGGGGGCAAGCGUUGUCCGGAAUCAUUGGGCGUAAAGCGCGUGUAGGCGGCUCGGUAAGUCUGCUGUGAAAGUCCAGGGCUCAACCCUGGGAUGCCGGUGGAUACUGUCGAGCUCGAGUCCGGAAGAGGCGAGUGGAAUUCCUGGUGUAGCGGUGAAAUGCGCAGAUAUCAGGAGGAACACCAAUGGCGAAGGCAGCUCGCUGGGACGUGACAGACGCUGAGACGCGAAAGCGUGGGGAGCAAACAGG
This 253-nucleotide ribosomal RNA is filed under the name uncultured bacterium. Its description in RNAcentral is "partial 16S ribosomal RNA". It matches the Rfam family "Bacterial small subunit ribosomal RNA", at positions 524 to 776 of the family's 1533-position model. The record is from RNAcentral.